This is a non-coding RNA of Gossypium hirsutum (cotton), 145 nucleotides long. The record is from Rfam. NCBI's taxonomy places the organism in Eukaryota, Viridiplantae, Streptophyta, Magnoliopsida, Malvales, Malvaceae.
UGUUAAAAAUUUCAUUUAUUUACACUAUUAAAAACUAGCAUAAUUAACGAAAUAAUCAAAAAGUAACAUGUGGUAUGCCAUGUGUACCUUACACUGAUGUAUAAGGAAUAGUUUUUAACCAUAGAAAUGAAUGAAAAUUUUAACA